GCCGGCCGGCUCUGUGUACGUGCGAGCCACGCGCUGCGAAUCAAGCCAAUAGAGCGCUAGUAAACGCUGAGAGAAGCAGCGGAUUAACGCUCUGAUCGGCAGCUGUCUAUCUUCCGGCAAAUAGACUCGGUUUUUAAGAACUAAACCUCCGUGAAUAGUAUUUAAGGCCAAGAAUGGCAUUGUUAUGGGUGUUUGGUGCGGUUGUGGUUUGUUUUUACCAAGUCACUUCAGAAACAGUUAGCUUUAUUAAAUCCCCAAUGUCCCAGACGACAGUCACUGGGAGGAGCACAGGGCUCCACUGUGAGGUCGUAGGCUUUCCCGUCCCAGAGGUGCAGUGGUGGUACGUUGAGGGGGAAGAACCUGAAGAAACAAUUAUUCAGCUGUUUGAUGGGGCACGAAAGGAUCGAGUCCGGAUCCAGACCACAUACAAUACUUAUGCCGCCAGCACCAUUCGCAUCUUGAACGUCACACGCAACGACUCUGGGACGUAUGAGUGCAGGGCCUCCAACGACCCCGAGCGCAAUGCUCUGAGGAAGACGCCCAAAGUCAAGUGGAUCCGCUCGCAGGCUAACAUUGUUGUGUUUGAACGCCCGUACAUCCUGACUGAGCCAAAAGAGGCUAAUAUCACCACCGAGGUGCUCAGCUGCAACCUCACUGAGGCUCCGUCUCCCAUCAAAAGUCAUCACUGGACCAGGAAUGGAAAAGUGAUAGAAGAGACGCGCCGCUCCUCCACAGUGGCGUUUACCGAGUACAAAGUAGAGAAAACUGACACCAAAUUUGGAGGUGAAUUUUCUUGUGUCUUUGUUGCGGCUACUGAGUUUCACAAGUCUAUAAAUCUUUCAGUGUUCCCCCGUGUCGUGGCUCCCAAGCACAACGAACACGUGACUGAGAAUGACAAAGCAGUGCUCAUUUGUGAGAGCAGCACCUACCCGGACAUUGACGACUGGCAAUGGUACUUCACUGAUGAUAGCCUGAAUAAAAAGGAAAUCACAGAGAACGAAAAGUACAAUAUCAAGACCCUGCGCAACAAGACCACCCUGUACAUCCAUAACCCGGCCAGUAACACAGACUCUGGCACCUACACUUGCCAGGGAAGCAAUCAAAUUGGUGAGAACUUCGAUGUCAUCACACUGCGUGUGCGCAGCCGGCUGGCCGCCCUGUGGCCCUUCCUCGGCAUCGUGGUGGAGGUGAUCAUCCUUGUCACCAUCAUCUUCAUCUUUGAGAAGAGGAGAAAGCACGAGGACCUUGGUGACGAUUUAACUAAAAACGAACAUUAAUUUACCAGACUAGAACAACCUAUAUUGUUUUGUGUUUUUAUUUUAUUUAUUUAUUAUAAUUUUUGUUUUAUUUGCUGCUGCUUUUGUAACAUUUUGAUGACAAUGUAGGGUCUGCUCCACUGAAGAGCGAGUCUGCCGCCAACCACAAGGACAAAAAUGUGAGGCAGAGGAACUGUAACUGAAGAAGGAUGGCGAUGAAGGACUCCUGAUGGUGGCUAUGUGAUGUUCACGUGGAGCAGAGAGCACCAUCCAGUCUGUUCUAGAAAUCCUUUCCUCUUUCACAGGUUUUUCUUCAGUAAACUAUGUCUAAAGGACCAAUAUACUCCUGAUGUUUCUCUUACUCUUUUUUUGGCAUGUCCUCUAUGCUAUCAAGAAGUUCAUGGAAGCCUAUGGCUAUGACUGUGUGAGCUUAUUCACAUUUAUUUUAAUCUCUGGGCCUAUCUAUUGUUUAUGCAGAAGUCUUUGUUUUCUCUGCGAGUGUGUGUGUGUGUGUGCUUCCUCUCAGUCGACCAGUCCUGCGUGCGCUUUUAAGCUAUCCAGCACCAGUAUUAACAUCCUCUGGGGAGGGGGGAGGGGUUGGUGGAGCCUCUGGUGACAGAGACCCCCCCUCACCACAUGCCGGCACACAUGUAUUACUGGAAGCCUGGUGGAAAUGACCUGUUCUGCUCCAUAAACAAUGCAGUGUGGGGCCCUUUGGGCUUUUUCUGAUGGUUGUAAUAACUGUAUAGUUUGUUUGACGGACUCCAGGGCUGGAAUUUAAUGCUGGCUAUUGUUACUCCUCAGAUGUUUCUGGGCUGUUCAAGCUCAAAACUUGAAAUACUAUUUUAAAAAUGUGUUUUAUUAUUAUCAUUAUUUUUCAGAUAUCCUCAGUAAAAUGUCCUACGAUGAUCUGCUAGCUGCUUUACAUCAUUUUGAAGAGUUUUGUUUGCAAAGCCCGAGACUGAUACCUGAUGUAUAACUUAAAUUUUGUGGCAUCCUUUAAAAUGAGUUAUUACAUUAUUUAACCCUUUUUGUGGAAAGUCCAAGCAAGAUAUUGUAUUACUAUUGCACCUGGCGUGUUCUUUUUGUCUUCCUAUGUUUAAAUUUUAGGAUGUUUUUAAAAUAUAAAUUAAGAAUCUGAAAUUAACGUAUUUAACAAGCAAUAACUUGACUACUAACUGCUGUAACAACUUGCACGAUUGAAAUAAAUGUAUUUGUUUUA
Brienomyrus brachyistius is the source of this 2478-nucleotide RNA transcript. It is a transcript of the gene named basigin-like, with no coding region annotated. Lineage: Eukaryota; Metazoa; Chordata; Actinopteri; Osteoglossiformes; Mormyridae. The transcript has 10 exons. The record is from RefSeq and is a predicted model, not a curated record.